CCUACGGGUGGCUGCAGUGGGGGAUAUUGCACAAUGGAGGAAACUCUGAUGCAGCAACGCCGCGUGAGGGAAGAAGGUCUUCGGAUUGUAAACCUCUGUCCUCAGGGACGAUAAUGACGGUACCUGAGGAGGAAGCUCCGGCUAACUACGUGCCAGCAGCCGCGGUAAUACGUAGGGAGCACGCGUUGUCCGGAUUUACUGGGUGUAAAGGGUCCGUUGUGGGCCCUGCAAGUCAGGUGUGAAAACUAUGGGCUUAACUCAUGGAUUGCACUUGAAACUGUGGGGAUUGAGUGAAGGAGGGGCAGGCAGAAUUCACGGAGUAGCGGUGAAAUGCGUAGAGGUCGGGAAGAACAGCAGUGGCGAAGGCGGCCUGCUGGGCUUUAACUGAGGCUGAGGCACGAAAGCGUGGGUAGCAAACAGGAUUAGAUACCCGUGUAGUC
Molecule: ribosomal RNA, 440 nt
Filed under: uncultured bacterium
Lineage: Bacteria
Description: bacterial SSU rRNA
Rfam family: Bacterial small subunit ribosomal RNA
Source: RNAcentral